RNAcentral lists this small nuclear RNA (107 nucleotides) under Bison bison bison. Lineage: Eukaryota; Metazoa; Chordata; Mammalia; Artiodactyla; Bovidae. The record is from RNAcentral.
GUGCUCACUUUGGCAGCACAUAUGCUAAAAUCGGAAUGAUACAGAGAAGAUUAGCCUGGCCCCUGUGCAAAGAUGACAUGGAAAUUCUUGAAGUAUCCCAUAUUUUG